Molecule: transfer RNA, 75 nt
Filed under: Pelotomaculum sp. PtaB.Bin104
Lineage: Bacteria; Bacillati; Bacillota; Clostridia; Eubacteriales; Desulfotomaculaceae
Description: tRNA-Ala
Rfam family: tRNA
About the family: Transfer RNA (tRNA) molecules are approximately 80 nucleotides in length.
Source: RNAcentral
GGGCGAGUAGUUCAGGGGGAGAAUACCUGAAUGGCAUUCAGGGGGUCGUGGGUUCAAUUCCCACCUCGUCCACCA